Molecule: ribosomal RNA, 253 nt
Filed under: uncultured bacterium
Lineage: Bacteria
Description: partial 16S ribosomal RNA
Rfam family: Bacterial small subunit ribosomal RNA
Source: RNAcentral
UACGAAGGGGGCUAGCGUUGCUCGGAAUUACUGGGCGUAAAGCGCACGUAGGCGGUCUUUUAAGUCGGGGGUGAAAUCCUGGAGCUCAACUCCAGAACUGCCUUCGAUACUGGAAGACUCGAGUCCGGGAGAGAUGAGUGGAACUGCGAGUGUAGAGGUGAAAUUCGUAGAUAUUCGCAAGAACACCAGUGGCGAAGGCGGCUCACUGGCCCGAUACUGACGCUGAGGCACGAAAGCGUGGGGAGCAAACAGG